Molecule: long non-coding RNA, 89 nt
Organism: Corapipo altera (White-ruffed manakin)
Lineage: Eukaryota; Metazoa; Chordata; Aves; Passeriformes; Pipridae
Exons: 3
Source: RefSeq, a predicted model, not a curated record
AGGCUGAACAAUCCUAAUUCUCUGAGCCUUUCCUUCUAAGAGAGGUGCUCCAUCCCUCUAGUCAUCUUGGAAGAAGCAAUUGAAAUGGA